This is a small nuclear RNA of Hermetia illucens (black soldier fly), 101 nucleotides long. RefSeq annotates it as U2 spliceosomal RNA. The transcript has a single exon. The record is from RefSeq and is a predicted model, not a curated record. Lineage: Eukaryota; Metazoa; Arthropoda; Insecta; Diptera; Stratiomyidae.
CCCGCUUCUCGGCCUUAUGGUUAAGAUCAAAGUGUAGUAUCUGUUCUUAUCAGCUUAACAUCUGUGCAGAUGUACAGGAAGAAACCAAGGGAGUAUACUUU